GAUGAACGCUGGCGGCGUGCCUAAUACAUGCAAGUCGAGCGAACGGACGAGAGGCUUGCUUCUCUGAUGUUAGCGGCGGACGGGUGAGUAACACGUGGAUAACCUCCCUAUAUGACUGGGAUAACUUCGGGAAACCGGAGCUAAUACCGGAUAAUCUUUUGCACCGCAUGGUUCAAAAGUGAAAGACGGUCUUGCUGUCACUUCUCGAUGGGUCCGCGCUGCAUUAGCUAGUUGGUAAGGUAACGGCUUACCAAGGCAACGAUGCAUAGCCGACCUGAGAGGGUGAUAGGCCACACUAGAACGGAGACACGGUCCAGACUCCUACGGGAGGGAGCAGUAGGGAAUCUUCCGCAGUAGGCGAAAGCCUGACGGAGCAAGGCCGCGUGAGUGAUGAAGGUCUUCGGAGCGUAAAACUCUGUUAUUAGGGAUGAACAUAUGUGUAAGUAAAUGUGCACAUCGUGACGGUACCUGAUCAGAAAGCCACGGCUAACUACGUG
RNAcentral lists this ribosomal RNA (497 nucleotides) under uncultured bacterium. RNAcentral describes it as "partial 16S ribosomal RNA". It matches the Rfam family "Bacterial small subunit ribosomal RNA", at positions 28 to 507 of the family's 1533-position model. The record is from RNAcentral.